UGUACANCCGUUUGGGGCAUCAGAUGGGUAUCGUUGCAAAGUGGUCNCGGCCCAGAACUACGUCUUACAUNUGAUGGGGAGUUCCAUGUAAGUGGURCUCCCCGCAUAAUAGAACAAGCUAUAGAGGGUUAACCGAUUAAUAGGUGUCACACCUAUGCCACAAUACAGCUUGCUUUAACCCCGACCAUNUAAUAGUCGAGGCUCAGCRACUUAAUAAGGCUCGGAAUUCUUGUCAUGGCUCGUUUAUUAUCAGRAUGGUUGACCGGACAGUUCUGCACCCGUGUACACACUGGCUUGGGGAUCGUCGUUUACAAUGUAUUCUUCYUAGACGCCAACUGCCUCCACAUGCACAAGGCCAAUGGGUGGAUAUGACAACUUCGGGUCCUGUAAUUAGAACUGGUCGUAGUGAUCAAUAGGCUACAAUAAUACUCUGUUACUCUGACAUACUAUACAAAGAUGGAACUUAAGAUAAAGUCCAGCUACAUGCGAAAGCAGAUUGGGUCGGUACCUACCAUAUAUAUAUAUAUGGAUAAACGGGAGCCUGCGGCUUAAUUUGACUCAACACGGGGAAACUCACCAGGUCCAGACACAAUAAGGAUUGACAGAUUGAGAGCUCUUUCUUGAUUUUGUGGGUGGUGGUGCAUGGCCGUUCUUAGUUGGUGGAGUGAUUUGUCUGCUUAAUUGCGAUAACGAACGAGACCUUAACCUGCUAAAUAGCCCGGCUAGCUUUGGCUGGUCGCUGGCUUCUUAGAGGGACUAUCGGCUCAAGCCGAUGGAAGUUUGAGGCAAUAACAGGUCUGUGAUGCCCUUAGAUGUCCUGGGCCGCACGCGCGUUACACUGACAGAGCCAACGAGUUCAUCUCCUUGUCCGAAAGGUCUGGGUAAUCUUGUUAAACUCUGUCGUGCUGGGGAUAGAGCAUUGCAAUUAUUGCUCUUCAACGAGGAAUUCCUAGUAAGCGCAAGUCAUCAGCUUGCGCUGAUUACGUCCCUGCCCUUUGUACACACCGCCCGUCGCUACUACCGAUUGAAUGGCUCAGUGAGGCUUUCGGACUGGCCUAGGGAGAGUGGCAACACUCACCCAGGGCCGGAAAGUUGUCCAAACUUGGUCAUUUAUAGG
RNAcentral lists this ribosomal RNA (1117 nucleotides) under Myxotrichum deflexum. RNAcentral describes it as "bacterial SSU rRNA". The stretch from base 499 to 1117 matches the Rfam family "Eukaryotic small subunit ribosomal RNA", at positions 1128 to 1799 of the family's 1831-position model. Lineage: Eukaryota; Fungi; Ascomycota; Leotiomycetes; Myxotrichaceae. The record is from RNAcentral.